AAAACACGUAGAGAAAGUGUGAGGGCAGUGCGAAGCCUGUGAAGGCUGUUUGGCACGCUCGCCGCUUUCCUCGUUCUCCUUGUGCAUUACCGCAUUCGCAUCGUGUGGCGGCACCUCUUCCGACCUGCCAGCCUUCUAUCUGUCUCUGCGUACGAUGUCUGCCCCACUCGACAUUCGCGGCGCGGCGGCGACCUCCGCGGGCAGGCCCGGGGAGACAGUGGCGCCACCCACAACGGCCACUGGCCGCCCACACACAGAGGUGAUGGCCGGCGGCUCGCAACCUCACCGCAAGCGACCUCGGCAAGGCGUUCUCGUCGAUCCCCUCUCUCGUGAGAUUUAUCAGAUGGUGGUGCGCCAGCUUCACCACGACGGGUUUCUGGCCGCUGCUUCUGCCGUCUGUGACGCCACCGGGGUCGUGGUGGGUAACGUGGAGGAUGAAGGCGACCGCCUCGCACGCGUCGUGGCGGCGGGACUAAGUGUCAAUGAAAUGGAGCGGCGUGCUGAGGAGGAGUUUCAAUUCACGCAGGUGGUGGAACGCUUUCUGAGCGCAUCGAAACUGUACAUGCCGCUGUCGUUGUCCAGCCGCUGGUUGGUGGGACGUCGAUGCUUGCGGAUGCGAGAGCGCUUCAUGUCAGCUUCUCUCGGCGGCGUUGUGCGAGACAUUUCUUUUUCUCCAGAUGGCGCCUACGUUGCGUGCGCCGGCACUAACGGACUUGCGGCCAUUUUUUCACUGGAGACGAUUGAGGAUUUAAGCGCACUGGACGAGGCGCGUGCUGCGAACCGCGCGAGGGCGCUUGAUGGCAGCCGUGACGCUGGAAGCUUCGGCAGUGGUGAGACCGCUCCUAAAGGGUCCGCUAUCCGCAAUGCCAACGAGGUAACGGAGCUUGCGAUGGUGCGGCGCUUUCACGAGCAUACGCAGUCAGUCGAGGUGAUGCGCUUCCACCCCACGAAACCAAUUGUGCUCUCUGGCGGACGCGAAGGCAUUCUUUACUUGCGAAACUACGCUUAUCCUGACUCGAAGGUGGUGCUGAAGAUUCACGACACCGUCCCCAUUCGCGACGCUUCUUUUCACCCGUCUGGCGAGUACAUUGUUGUGGCAGCAAAUCACCAUCUGCCUCGGCUGAUCAACGUACGCACGGAGAAGGUGCUCACGCCGCCUGGGACCUACGCGUCCUCGACUGCCCACACAGGGCCACAAUGGGAGAGCGAAGAUAGCGGCUCUACAGCUACCUCGUACCGGCCCACCGACCGUGGGGCACAGCACAGCGCGGCGCUGUCGUCGGUUUGCUUUGCUCCUGACGGGCGUACCAUGAUGAGCACAAGCCUUGAUGGUACCUGGAUGCUUUACGACGGCGUGAGCGGGCGCGUGAUCUACCGUGCUGAGAGCGCGCAUUCUGGCGUGCCUGUCACAAGCGUCGUGUACAGCCGAACAGGCAACGUUGUGCUAACGGCGGGUAUGGACUCUACGGCACGCCUGUGGGACCUUAGGCGGCUCCAUGCAACGUCGCGCAACUACCAAAGCCCAGAGGUAACCUCUUUCGGCGAGCCCACCAAGUGUGAAUGCCGCAGCAUACGGGCCGUGUUCUCCGCCAACGAAAGCCACGUGCAUUGCCACGACUCUACUCUUCUCGCUGUGCACAGCUACUGCGUGUACACUGGGGCGGUGGACUGCACUGUGACAACACAGCCGAGCUUUAUGCAAAGGGGGCUUGCCGCCAGCCCGUGGGCCAACUGUAUUGUCACAGGAGGUGACGACAGUCGACUGCGUCUGUGGACCCCAGCGUGGCUUCCAUCUUGAGGAAGCGUGUGUGUAUGUGUGUGCGCGUUUGUGCUUGUGUUGAUGUCGCUGUCUAUGUUUGUGUGCGUGAUCGGGCAGGUGGGAGGGUACACAGGCGAUGGCUACCAGCACUUCGCCUUGAACGUUAAUGGAUACGAUUGCGUACCGGAGGACAGCACCGCGCAAAGAAAAGAGACGAUGCGAAUGAAACAAAGGGGGGGGGACGCCUGGUGCAAUGGAAGACGGUGGGGUGGGGUGGGGGGCGGCAGACCCUUUCUUGUGACUCCCAACGCGCAUGGCGUCGGCAGAGACGACCCCGAUUUGUUUCGCUCUGCCACGCAUGGUGUUCGUGGGUGCUCGAGAAAACGCAAGGAUCCGUAGCAUCAACAACGAAGGCGGAUCAGAAGAGUGUUUCCAUACUCUUUCAGCUAGCUGCCUUCCUCUCUCUUCGGACAUCGGCAUACCUGUUUCGCGCUACUACUGGUGAUGCUGGAGAGGACUGCGAUCGAGGAAGGGUGAAAAGGGAGAGAGAAGCGGCUAGUAAAAAAGAGGGACGUGACCAAGUAAUGGAGCGCUGCCACAGGGGAAGGCCACGCACGUAUCACUUAGAAACACGCGCACGCGUCGUCUCUUUCUUCCCCUAUUUUCGUUUGCGGUAGCGCACCGCUUUUAUCGGUCCUGUUCCCUCAUGCCGGCCAACCUUCAGUUUUUCAUGCCUCCUACCUCCGCUUCCCUUCUAUCUCCUUGGCACUCCGCCUCUCUCGAUGCGCACCGGCACACCGGCACACACACCAUCGUGUGCAAAG
RNAcentral lists this unclassified non-coding RNA (2583 nucleotides) under Leishmania donovani. RNAcentral describes it as "gene:LdHU3.33.0350(CDS-product:WD_domain_G-beta_r epeat_putative)". Lineage: Eukaryota; Euglenozoa; Kinetoplastea; Trypanosomatida; Trypanosomatidae. The record is from RNAcentral.